This 600-nucleotide unclassified non-coding RNA is filed under the name Hevea brasiliensis (rubber tree). Lineage: Eukaryota; Viridiplantae; Streptophyta; Magnoliopsida; Malpighiales; Euphorbiaceae. The record is from RNAcentral.
CAGAAACUGGCAAUGCCACCAUGAUGAAAAAUGUUCCCAGCAACUAAUGCUCCUUUAGAGGAAAUUGUUCACAAACAAGGAGAGCAAAUGCAGAAAGCAGUUGAAGGAGGGGAAAAAGAGUGAGGGUUUAACACGAACUAAUUGAAAGAAAAAGCUUUUUUUGGGAUUUUUUGUGUCAGGAGACACGUGCUAGACUAGAAUAGAAGCUUAAGGAAUGUCAGGAAGGUUUGCGAGCGCAGUUAGAGUAAGCAGCAGAUCUGAACUUCUUGAUUCCACCGUGUGGUCGCACGUCUUCAAUGCUGUAUCCGAGGGGAGCUUCGUAGAAAAGGGAUUUACUACUACUACUACUACUAGACUUCUUCUUACCACCUUUUGACUCCAUUAAAUCAUUCGCAAUAAAUACGAAAUGUAAAAAUGGGUGAACCAGUUAACACCGAGAAACCCUUUGCCUUAGUACCCUUUCUCCAAUUAAAUCCGAUUAAAUGCGUUAGCGGCGGAGAACGAAACCCGAGAAACCCCUAAAAAACUUGCAAGAAACAAAAAGCGAAAGCUAAUAAAAUUCGAGAGAGAGAGAAUGGAUGAGAAUUCAAGAGGCAGAAG